This 254-nucleotide ribosomal RNA is filed under the name uncultured bacterium. Its description in RNAcentral is "partial 16S ribosomal RNA". It matches the Rfam family "Bacterial small subunit ribosomal RNA", at positions 524 to 776 of the family's 1533-position model. The record is from RNAcentral.
UACGAAGGGGGCUAGCGUUGUUCGGAAUCACUGGGCGUAAAGCGCACGCAGGCGGAUCGUUAAGUCAGGGGUGAAAUCCCGAGGCUCAACCUCGGAACUGCCUUUGAUACUGGCGAUCUUUGAGUCCGGGAGAGGUGAGUGGAACUCCGAGUGUAGAGGUGAAAUUCGUAGAUAUUCGGAAGAACACCAGUGGCGAAGGCGGCUCACUGGCCCGAGACUGACGCUGAGGCGCGAAAGCGUGGGGAGCGAACAGG